UACCAGCCAAGGAGAGAUUAGUGCAGAGCUGGCCAGUCUGCAACCGCCGCUUAAUCAGGCGGAAUGAACUGCCUGUUCUCCCCUGCCUGCGCUCCCACCACAUCUCCAGGGAGCUUCACUUGGGUAGAAAGUCCUUCCCCACUAAUCUCUAUCAAUCAAAAUACAGCUAGUUCAGAGGCUGGCAAUUCCUGCUUCCCCUAGCUGCCAUCAUCUGACCUCUUUCUCUCCUCCCAGAACCCUUGGUUCAAAUCUUUUUUUUUUUCCAAACAGAGGUCCCAUCUGGCCUUGUGUCGUGGUGGUUGACGUCCACGUCCAUCUUCCGUCGUCCAUCCUGAGCUUGAGGGCAGCACGCCCCGCUGAGCCUGCAUCUGUCUCAGUGCCCGUGCUUUGGUGCGCACAAGGCCGCGGGGACCCAGUGGGUCAGACUGACCGUGCUGGGCCGGCCUCUGCCUCCCCGCCUCUCUGCCUCCUGUCUUUGUGUCUUUUACUGAUGGAUUCCAAUGCUUCCACUGCGAGAAACAAAGCCCAGACAAACUUCUCUUUCUUGGAAGGGCUUACCGUAGAGCCACGAAAGUCCCAGCCAGAAAAGCGAUUGAUGUCCUGUAAAGCCUUCCUCCAGAAAUCCACUCAAUCAUUCAUUCAUGUCCUCUCUCAUUCUCCUUAAAGGCCAGGUGAGAGCUUACUGUCUGAAAUACAUCAGGUGGGGACUGGCAGGAUACAUGUAUGUGACCGCAUGUUUGUGAGACUGUUUCUUAGUAGCCUAGAGACAAGGAGAUU
RNAcentral lists this long non-coding RNA (777 nucleotides) under Capra hircus (goat). RNAcentral describes it as "lncRNA (ENSCHIG00010009595.1)". Lineage: Eukaryota; Metazoa; Chordata; Mammalia; Artiodactyla; Bovidae. The record is from RNAcentral.